Long non-coding RNA from Triticum dicoccoides, 724 nucleotides. RefSeq lists it as uncharacterized. Lineage: Eukaryota; Viridiplantae; Streptophyta; Magnoliopsida; Poales; Poaceae. The record is from RefSeq and is a predicted model, not a curated record. The transcript has 2 exons.
UCCAAACCGCAUUCCAACGGACAGCAGUAAAAAAUUACCCCACACAUACGCACCACAGGCGUUCCAGCGAAGCAGAAUGAGAAAACGGUGGGAAAAAGGAAAUUCGAAAGGAAAGAUUAGAGCCGCCUCCGAGCAGCCGAGCGGCGCCGCCGCGGAGGAGAGGCUGCGCCGUGCAGCCGUGAGCACCAGAGAAGAGUACACCACCGGUCCGGGAACCUGUUGCCGUGAACCGCCGCGGCGGCAUGGAAGGAAUACCGCUGCGGAUUGGGGAGGAGCGCCGUCGCGGGCCUAGGGAGAGCGCCGCCCGGACCAAGCUCCCUGCUCGAUCGAUCAAGGACUCUCGAUUCCGGCCGCCUGCAGCACAUCAGGCCAUCAGCUAACAGAAUGGCAGCACUGGGCAAAGCUAGCGGUAUGUGAGAGGCUCUUGAUUUGCUUAUAUCUGGUUCUGCUAUUAAGUUACUGAAGCAAGGUAUGUUCCUGUAUAUUGUGGUGGCGUCAUAUAGAUUUGCCAAAGUAUAGUUUCUUCAAAUUGUGAAGUGAAUCCUAAUGUCUCAAACUCUGGUCUUGUAGUAUGUUCUUGUAUAUUGUGUUGGCCUCGUACAAAUUCGGAUAAAAUAGCAUGUACAUAAAGGAAACUACAUGAACAAAGUUUUUAAUCUGUUUGGACUAAGAAUAUUGUUAACAUUCACACGCCUAAUCUAAUAAGUGUCCUUAUUCUGGUUGA